RNAcentral lists this ribosomal RNA (397 nucleotides) under uncultured bacterium. Its description in RNAcentral is "partial 16S ribosomal RNA". It matches the Rfam family "Bacterial small subunit ribosomal RNA", at positions 523 to 918 of the family's 1533-position model. The record is from RNAcentral.
AUACGUAGGGAGCGAGCGUUGUCCGGAAUUACUGGGUGUAAAGGGUGCGUAGGCGGGACUGCAAGUCAGAUGUGAAAUGCCGGGGCUCAACCCCGGAGCUGCAUUUGAAACUGUGGUUCUUGAGUGAGGUAGAGGUAAGCGGAAUUCCUAGUGUAGCGGUGAAAUGCGUAGAGAUUAGGAGGAACAUCGGUGGCGAAUGCGGAUUACAGGGCCUUUACUGACGCAGAGGCACGAAAGCGUGGGGAGCAAACAGGAAUAGAUACCCUGGUAGUCCACAUUGUAAACGAUGAAUGCUAGGUGUAGGGGGUAUCGACCCCUUCUGUACCGCAGUCAACACAAUAAGCAUUCCGCCUGGGGAGUACGGCCGCAAGGUUGAAACUCAAAUGAAUUUACGGGG